AGAGUUUGAUCAUGGCUCAGAACGAACGCUGGCGGCGUGCUUAACACAUGCAAGUCGAACGAGAAACCUCGAGCUUGCUCGAGGGAGUAAAGUGGCGCACGGGUGAGUAACACGUGGGUAACCUACCCCCGAAUCUGGGAUAACCUCGCGAAAGCGUUGCUAAUACCGGAUAUUGUCCUAUUGGUUGUGACCUUUGGGAUGAAAGGCAACCUCUUCAUGAAAGUUGUCGUUCAGGGAUGGGCCCGCGUACCAUUAGCUUGUUGGUGGGGUAAUGGCCCACCAAGGCUGCGAUGGUUAGCUGGUCUGAGAGGAUGAUCAGCCACACUGGAACUGAAACACGGUCCAGACUCCUACGGGAGGCAGCAGUGAGGAAUUUUGCGCAAUGGGGGAAACCCUGACGCAGCAACGCCGCGUGAGUGAAGAAGGCUUUCGGGUCGUAAAGCUCUGUCAAGUGGGAAAAAAGUCUGAUGAUUAAUAGUUAUCAGAUCUGAUGGUACCACUGGAGGAAGCACCGGCUAACUCCGUGCCAGCAGCCGCGGUAAUACGGAGGGUGCAAGCGUUGUUCGGAAUUACUGGGCGUAAAGGGCGUGCAGGCGGGUUGGUAAGUCAGAUGUGAAAGCCCUGGGCUCAACCCAGGAAGUGCAUUUGAAACUGCCAUCCUUGAGUAUGGGAGAGGAGAGUGGAAUUCCCAAUGUAGAGGUGAAAUUCGUAGAUAUUGGGAGGAACACCCGUGGCGAAGGCGACUCUCUGGACCAAUACUGACGCUGAGACGCGAAAGCGUGGGG
Molecule: ribosomal RNA, 785 nt
Filed under: uncultured sediment bacterium
Lineage: Bacteria
Description: bacterial SSU rRNA
Rfam family: Bacterial small subunit ribosomal RNA
Source: RNAcentral